CUCGAAUCUAAAAGAGCUAAUGACACAUUUUAUUAACGUUUUAUAGUUACUUUAAAUAUGUCAUUAGAAAUGAAAUGUUAUUCGUUUUUAGAUAUAUCUAGUUUUUCAAGAAAUGAAUUUAAUUUAAUUUUUAGUUUAAAACUAAUCGAUUUGAUGGUUAGUUUUAAUUAAAAGGGAAUUUUGCCAGGGAUAAGCUUGGCCGAAUAUUUUUAUUUAUCAUUUUAAUAAAUGUAAGCUCAUAGGAAUAAAAAUUUCCAUUAUUUAUAGUGUGUUAUAAUUAUUUUAUAAAUUCUUAUUAUUUUUAUUGAUAAUAAAUUAUUUAUUGGAAUAUUUUUGUUAAUUAAAUGUAUUAAGAAAUUAUGGUAGAAUUAGUAUAUAAUUUUGUAACUUUAAAUUUGUUUGAAAGAAGUUUAAAAGGAACUCGGCAAAUUUAUUUUCCACCUGUUUAUUAAAAACAUGGCCUUUUGAAUUUAAUUUAAGGUCUGACCUGCCCAAUGAGGAUUAAAUGGCCGCGGUAUUUUGACCGUGCUAAGGUAGCAUAAUCAUUAGUUUCUUAAUUAGAAACUGGAAUGAAAGGUUUAAUGAGAAAAUAGCUGUCUCUUGAAUUUUAAUAGAAUUUUAUUUUUAAGUAAAAAAGCUUAAAUUUUAUUGUAAGACGAGAAGACCCUGUAGAGUUUAAUAAAUCAAUUUUGUUAAUUAUUUUUGUGAUUUAAGUCGAUAAAUGAAGUUAUUUAUUUAGUUGGGGUGAUUGAGAAAUUUAAUUAACUUUUUUUUAUCUUUACAUUAAUUAAUGAUUUUUUGAUCCAAUUUUUUUGAUUAUAAGAUAAAAUUACCUCAGGGAUAACAGCGUAAUCUUUUUUUAGAGUUCUAAUCGAUAAAAGGGGUUGCGACCUCGAUGUUGGAUUAAAAUUUACUUUUGGUGCAGAAGCUUAAAGGUUAGGUCUGUUCGACCUUUAAAAUUUUACAUGAUCUGAGUUUAAACCGGCGUGAGCCAGGUUGGUUUCUAUCUUCAAUUUUUUUAUAGUUCUUAGUACGAAAGGACCAGAA
This 1047-nucleotide ribosomal RNA is filed under the name Smaragdina reyi. RNAcentral's name for it is "16S ribosomal RNA". The stretch from base 339 to 1047 matches the Rfam family "Archaeal large subunit ribosomal RNA", at positions 1423 to 2767 of the family's 2987-position model. The record is from RNAcentral. Lineage: Eukaryota; Metazoa; Arthropoda; Insecta; Coleoptera; Chrysomelidae.